RNAcentral lists this transfer RNA (87 nucleotides) under Sphingobacteriales bacterium. Its description in RNAcentral is "tRNA-Leu". It matches the Rfam family "tRNA". From Rfam's summary of the family: Transfer RNA (tRNA) molecules are approximately 80 nucleotides in length. Their secondary structure includes four short double-helical elements and three loops (D, anti-codon, and T loops). Further hydrogen bonds mediate the characteristic L-shaped molecular structure. tRNAs have two regions of fundamental functional importance: the anti-codon, which is responsible for specific mRNA codon recognition, and the 3' end, to which the tRNAs corresponding amino acid is attached (by aminoacyl-tRNA synthetases). tRNAs cope with the degeneracy of the genetic code in two manners: having more than one tRNA (with a specific anti-codon) for a particular amino acid; and 'wobble' base-pairing, i.e. permitting non-standard base-pairing at the 3rd anti-codon position. The record is from RNAcentral. Lineage: Bacteria; Pseudomonadati; Bacteroidota; Sphingobacteriia; Sphingobacteriales.
GCCCAGAUGGCGGAAUUGGUAGACGCGCUAGACUCAAAAUCUGGUUUUCGAAAGGGAGUGCAGGUUCGAUUCCUGUUCUGGGCACCA